UAUAUAUGCUACUCAUUAUAUUUUCUGAAGUUGUGAUGAAGCUUGAUCUUAGUAAUAUUUUCUUUUGCAGUCAUAAUUAAUUAUUGGGUCCCUGGAUGUUGGCUUUUAUGAAUAAUGUUUGUAUUUGUGGAAUUUGAGUUUCACAUUUAAGGCUUCGAUGAGGAGUAUAUUUUCACUUUAACAAUGCCUCAAAUCUAUGAUCAUUCUCUUAAUAUAUAAUAUAAAAAUUCAUAAUGCUUCAGUUAAUGACUUAAGGUUUUAGUACCUGUGGAUUGAUCAAAUUUCAAGAGUAUAUAAAAUCAAUAUGAUGCAGACCCUAGCUUUUGAUUGAUAAUAUUUGAAACUGUUUUCCCUUAUGUAUGAUGUCCCCUGACAAAUUUAGCAUCUUUCAAUAUUUUUUAAUUAAUGUUAAUAUACUUCCUGGUGCUUUUAAUUUUCAUAACCAUAUAAUUAUUGGCUAAAUUUUUUUUGAUUAUUGAAACAUUCAGUUCUGAGUGGUAUGUCUCCUUUACAUGCAUGUUUGAUCUUCUCGAUAUUUGCAUCAAUGGACGAAAAUAGAAGCUAAACUCAACUGUUAUAAGCCAGGUUAAGUGUUGAUAGAUCACAUGGCAGACAAAAGCUCCUCAAGCUGCAGGGACCAUCCAUACUGAUUUGAGAGAGGGUUCAUCUGUGCUGAGAUUCGUACUAAGUUGGGUGGAUUCCUUGAAGCCCUUCCCCUUGAGGAGAAGAUUGAAUAUGGGAUGGUUAUCAAAAAGGAAAAGCCGAAAGAUGAUGAGACGUUCCACUGCAAGUGCAAUCCUGAAAGGGUUGUGGCUUUAGGAAGAAUAUUGAGUGCAGAGCAAAAGAAGGCAGUGAGGAAUAUUAGAUUUGGUGCAAUGUUGGAUUUGAAGAUGGAUUGUGUGAAGAGAAAGUUAGCUAGGUGGUUAGUUGAUCAGAUUGACGAUGACAAGAGGGUACUUACUGUGGGUACCACGAUCAUAGAGUUGAAGCCGUAGCUUUUCGAGCAUGUUAUGGGGAUUAGGGAUGGCGGUACCCCUAUCAAACUGCCUGAGAAGAAUUACUACAAUCCUUACCAUGAUUUGAUUUUCAACAUGCAUAAGAAAUCCACUACCAUCGAUGACUUGGAGAAAGUAAUUGAACGGAGCAAGACAACAGACGAGCUCUUUCUCAUGCAUUACGUAUUGUUCGUAAUUACGGUCGUUCUUUGUCCAACGUCGGGAAAUCGUGUUAAGAAAGCAUACCUAUCCAUUGUUUGCAACGUGGAGUCUGUUAAGAAUUUCAAUUGGGUGACACACACCCUCAACUUUCUUUGUGAGCAGAUUCAAUGUUUGAAGCGGGGAGAGAUUCAUUACAUGCCAGGUUUUUCGCUCUUCCUGUACUUAAUGUUCAUAUAAAGAGCUUUGUGGCCUCGUGGGCAGAUAGAUAGGAGUAUCCCCCGAUUGCCGAUUACACUUUGGGAUAAGACCACUAUGAGGAAAUUUGCGCUUUACAUCGACCGUAAAGGAGGUUAUGAGACUACUGAGAUGUUACCUUUACCACCACCCAAUACCAAAAAAGCUCCCAUUGUUAUGCCCUCUAAAGGUGCUCGAGAAGCUCCCAAUGCUAUGUAUUCUAAAGGAGUUCGAGAAGCUCCCACUGCUAUGCCUUCCAAAGGAGUUCGGGAAGCACGUAGGGCCCCCAGCGUCCCUAAUCACCCCAUCAACCCCAUAAUUGAUGCUAAUGAUGUCAUUCUGAGUAAGAUUUUGGACCGUAUGGACCGGAUGGAGCAGCAAAUGGAUAAGGUAUCAAGUACCAUGGAAGUACUACCAAGCCAGGUCCAUGAUGUACUUGACAAAGAGAUGAGGACUAUCAAGAAGGUCAUAAUCAAUGAUCUUUGGAAGGUUGCAGCUUCAAAGCGUACAAUAGACCCCCAUUUUACUAGAGUUGACAUUCCUUAGCCUACCAAGCCAGCGAGGGACUCCAAAAAAUCCACGGUGGCAGGAAACCAAGACCAAAAUGAAUAAGAAAUGGAUGAUGAUGUUGUCAUUGUAGAUAGGUCUUUGAUCCCGUGGAAGACAUUGUUAUCUACCCAAAUUGAGAAGGAGGGAGAGGGGAUUCAAAAUGAACAAUUUGAACCUAUGGAACCCAAGGCUUGCACCCUACCUGUGGAAGAGAAGGCCUGGAAGAAAUAUCAUUCCAGCAAAGGGAAGGUGGUGUGUGCAUUCGACCUAAAGAUUGAGGUUGAUGAGGAGAUUUUUAAGACAGUCCAAUAUAUUUUCACUAACAGUCUUCAAAAAAAGGAAAUCUUAUUCUCCAACGACAGAACAAAACUGUCGAGAUCACAACUGAGCUUGUUCAGACCCGAUACAGAAAUUGAUGGGAAUAUUAUUACAUGUUAUGCCUAGUUGUUGACGAGCAAGGAGAGAAUUGGUGACAGAACCUACUGGUUUUUGCCCACUACAGUUUCUAUUAGUGCAAUUAUGCCU
Long non-coding RNA from Humulus lupulus (European hop), 2465 nucleotides. RefSeq lists it as uncharacterized. NCBI's taxonomy places the organism in Eukaryota, Viridiplantae, Streptophyta, Magnoliopsida, Rosales, Cannabaceae. The record is from RefSeq and is a predicted model, not a curated record. The transcript is spliced from 7 exons.